GGGCGAAUGGUUUAGUGGUAUAAUACUCCCUUAGCAUGGUUUAAACUAACUAAGUUGUUUGGGAGUGGUCCAGGGUUCGAUUCCCUGUUUGUCCA
This is a non-coding RNA of Epichloe festucae Fl1, 95 nucleotides long. The record is from the annotation of a GenBank genome assembly. NCBI's taxonomy places the organism in Eukaryota, Fungi, Ascomycota, Sordariomycetes, Hypocreales, Clavicipitaceae.